CCUACGGGAGGCUGCAGUGAGGAAUAUUGGUCAAUGGGCGCGAGCCUGAACCAGCCAAGUCGCAUGAAGGAUGACUGCCCUACGGGUUGUAAACUCCUUUUUUAAAGGAAUAAAGUGAGGCACGUGUGCCUUUUUGUAUUUACUUUAUGAAUAAGGAUCGGCUAACUCCGUGCCAGCAGCCGCGGUAAUACGGAGGAUCCGAGCGUUACCCGGUUUUUUUGGGUUUAAAGGGGGCGUAGAUGGGUUGUUAAGUCAGGUGUGAAAGUUUGCGGCUCAACCGUAAAAUUGCAAUUGAUACUGGCAGUCUUGAGUGCAGUUGAGGUAGGCGGAAUUCGUGGUGUAGCGGUGAAAUGCUUAGAUAUCACGAAGAACUCCGAUUGCGAAGGCAGCUUACUAAUCUGCCACUGACAUUGAUGCUCGAAAGUGUGGGUAUCAAACAGGAUUAGAUACCCCAGUAGUC
This 460-nucleotide ribosomal RNA is filed under the name uncultured bacterium. RNAcentral's name for it is "partial 16S ribosomal RNA". It matches the Rfam family "Bacterial small subunit ribosomal RNA", at positions 338 to 795 of the family's 1533-position model. The record is from RNAcentral.